AAACAUGAAGCGAACAACCCUGUAUCACCCAUGAGGGGCGCAUCGAGGCAUGUGUGUGUGUGUGUGUGCGUGCGUGCACUCAGCUAACGAAAGAAGAACGGCAUAAAAAGACAAGAGAGGGCAUCACAUCGCGGUGCGUCUUAUUCUUGCCAAGUAGUAUCUCCUUUACCUCGUUCUCCUGUGUGUGUGCUUUCAAUGUGCUCUUGUCAUGGCGCGAUGGAUCGGAUGGAGAGGGCAGAGGAGGAUCGACGAGCGCCGUGACUGUCUCUCUGGUUUUCUAUGAUUCCUGAGGAACGAAGUUUUUUUUUUUUUUUGGGCGUGGCAGCGCUUCUGAUGUAUAUGCAUAUGUGUUUGUGUGCCUGCUUUACGGCGGAAACGCAUGCGCUGUACAGUCGUCUGGGUGCAAACAGGUGGUUGUGGCCGUGAAGCGAGAGCGCGUAGACACGUAUGUGUGUGUGUGUGGUUCUUCUUUCCCUUUUUUCGCGAUGAGUGCCCACCUCUCCCCCGAAACAGACGCCCUCACGCACAUAUAUAAGCCGCCACACUCCUCCCCCUCCCCUCUCUCUUUCUUAUGUAUUUCUUCUCCCCUCCUCUCGCCCUUUUCUUCCCUUUUGUUUUGUUCCACCCGCCUUCCCGCUCUCCCUCUUCGUGCUUGUGCGUCGACAUCUGCUGCUUGGCAACAUGUAACUCUCCCGCUCCUGUAAG
Molecule: unclassified non-coding RNA, 705 nt
Filed under: Leishmania donovani
Lineage: Eukaryota; Euglenozoa; Kinetoplastea; Trypanosomatida; Trypanosomatidae
Description: gene:unknown
Source: RNAcentral